GAGGGUAUAGCUCAGUGGUAGAGUAUGUGCUUAGCAUGAACGAAGUCCUGAAUUCAAUCCCCAGUACCUCUA
This 72-nucleotide transfer RNA is filed under the name Camelus bactrianus (Bactrian camel). It matches the Rfam family "tRNA". Rfam says of the family: Transfer RNA (tRNA) molecules are approximately 80 nucleotides in length. The record is from Rfam by way of RNAcentral. RNAcentral also lists the same sequence under 1 other name. Lineage: Eukaryota; Metazoa; Chordata; Mammalia; Artiodactyla; Camelidae.